RNAcentral lists this ribosomal RNA (252 nucleotides) under uncultured Odoribacter sp. Its description in RNAcentral is "partial 16S ribosomal RNA". It matches the Rfam family "Bacterial small subunit ribosomal RNA", at positions 524 to 776 of the family's 1533-position model. The record is from RNAcentral. Lineage: Bacteria; Pseudomonadati; Bacteroidota; Bacteroidia; Bacteroidales; Odoribacteraceae.
UACGGAGGAUGCGAGCGUUAUCCGGAUUUAUUGGGUUUAAAGGGUGCGUAGGCGGUAUUUUAAGUUAGUGGUAAAACGUCGGGGCUUCACCUUGAUUGGCCAUUAAAACUGGAGUACUAGAGUACAGACGAGGUAGGCGGAAUAAGUUAAGUAGCGGUGAAAUGCUUAGAUAUAACUUAGAACACCGAUAGCGAAGGCAGCCUGCUGGACUGUAACUGACGCUGAUGCUCGAAAGUGUGGGUAUCAAACAGG